GACGAACGCUGGCGGCGUGCCUAAUACAUGCAAGUAGAACGCUGAAGGAGGAGCUUGCUUCUCUGGAUGAGUUGCGAACGGGUGAGUAACGCGUAGGUAACCUGCCUGGUAGCGGGGGAUAACUAUUGGAAACGAUAGCUAAUACCGCAUAAUAGUAGAUGUUGCAUGACAUUUGCUUAAAAGGUGCAAUUGCAUCACUACCAGAUGGACCUGCGUUGUAUUAGCUAGUUGGUGGGGUAACGGCUCACCAAGGCGACGAUACAUAGCCGACCUGAGAGGGUGAGCGGCCACACUGGGACUGAGACACGGCCCAGACUCCUACGGGAGGCAGCAGUAGGGAAUCGUCGGCAAUGGACGGAAGUCUGACCGAGCAACGCCGAGUGAGUGAAGAAGGUUUCCGGAUCGUAAAGCUCUGUUGUAAGAGAAGAACGAGUGUGAGAGUGGAAAGUUCACACUGUGACGGUAUCUUACCAGAAAGGGACGGCCAACUACGUG
RNAcentral lists this ribosomal RNA (495 nucleotides) under uncultured bacterium. Its description in RNAcentral is "partial 16S ribosomal RNA". It matches the Rfam family "Bacterial small subunit ribosomal RNA", at positions 28 to 507 of the family's 1533-position model. The record is from RNAcentral.